GACGUAGGAGGCGAGCGUUGUCCGGAUUCAUUGGGCGUAAAGAGCGCGCAGGCGGCUUGGUAAGUCGGAUGUGAAAUCCCGAGGCUCAACCUCGGGUCUGCAUCCGAUACUGCCCGGCUAGAGGUAGGUAGGGGAGCGUGGAAUUCCUGGUGGAGCGGUGAAAUGCGCAGAUAUCAGGAGGAACACCCGUAGCGAAGGCGGCACUCUGGGCCGAUUCUGACACUGAGGAGCGAAAGCGUGGGGAGCGAACAGG
RNAcentral lists this ribosomal RNA (253 nucleotides) under uncultured bacterium. RNAcentral's name for it is "partial 16S ribosomal RNA". It matches the Rfam family "Bacterial small subunit ribosomal RNA", at positions 524 to 776 of the family's 1533-position model. The record is from RNAcentral.